This 863-nucleotide long non-coding RNA is filed under the name Marmota monax (woodchuck). The stretch from base 550 to 602 matches the Rfam family "tRNA". Lineage: Eukaryota; Metazoa; Chordata; Mammalia; Rodentia; Sciuridae. The record is from RNAcentral.
GCCAGACGAGUGCGCUACCACUGAGCCACAACCCCAACCCCUUUUAAAUUUUUUUUUUUUAAUUUUAAUUUUUAUUUUUUAGAUGUUGAUAGACUUUAUUUUUUUAUUUAUACAUGGUGCUGAGAAACGAACCCAGGGCCUCACACAUGCUAGGCAAGUGUGCUAUCGCUAAGCCACAAUCCGAGCCCCAAGCCCUUUUCAUUUUAAGUCUUGGUCUCACUAAAUUGCCCAAGCUGGCUGGGUCCAUAGCGCACACCUAUAAUCCCAGUGACUGAAGAAGUUGAGGCGGAGGAUCCUUAAAUUCAAGACCAGCCUGGGAGGCCAUGUCUUUUUUCUUUUGUUCUUUUCUUUCUUUCUUUGGUACCGGGAUUGAAUCCCAGGGGUGCUUAACCACUGAGCCACAUCCCCAGCCCCUUAUUUUAUUUAGAGUUGCUUAGGGACUUGCUAAGUUUCUCACGCUGGCUUUGAACUCAGUCCUCCUCCCUCCACUGGGAUUACAAGUAUGUGCCAUGCACCCUGCUUUGAGACCAUGUCUUAAUGAAAAGGUCUGGGGAUGUAGCUCAGUGGUAGAGCACCCCUGGGUUCAAUCCCCAGUACCACCACCACAGUAAUAAUAAUAAGGCUGGCCUUGAACCUGUUAAACUCCCAAGUUGCUGGGGUCACAGGUGUGUGCCACCGUGCCCCCACCCCACCUCCUUCCAACUCACUCAUGUUCAAUGAAGGUAAACAAGCUGUCAAAAUGUCUAAAGCUUCCUUCUUGACCCUGGGUUCUCAGAGAUGAAUUGAACUUUCCUCCCAUCCUUCUCACCUGCUCACCCCUAUCCUGCUGUGCCCCAAUUCUCACCUUCACAAGGGACCUGCUG